This 1045-nucleotide ribosomal RNA is filed under the name Triticum aestivum (bread wheat). RNAcentral's name for it is "partial small subunit ribosomal RNA". Lineage: Eukaryota; Viridiplantae; Streptophyta; Magnoliopsida; Poales; Poaceae. The record is from RNAcentral.
CAGGCCGGCAGAGCGCGCUCUGCGCAUAUGUACCAUCCCGGGUGCGUGCUUUGUUGAGUGGCGACCGGUGUGUUUGGAAUAGGGGUGGAGCACUCAUAGAUUAGGUCAAGUAGGGGCGGUGGCAAGGGAGAGACUCAGGUUUUAUGGUCGCGGUCGCUGACGUGAAAACUCCUGCGGUCUCGACUACGUUCGCCCUCGACGCAGGUACCUACACUUUGACGUAGGAGAAGAGGGGGCUGCCGACCUCGCCGCUCGCCGUUGGUACCUACCGUCCUCGACGUUGGGCGAAAGCACCCUCGAUGUUGGCCGCAGGUACCCUCGACGUCGGCUUUGCGCUCGACGUUGGUACCUACCGCCCCUCAACGUUAGCCCGGAGGCCCCCUCGACGUACGCCACUUGCCACUGAAAAGAAAAGCGACCUUGUGCUCGCGAUGUUGGCAAAAAGAAAGAACGACCAUGGCCGCCACUAAAAACGACCUUUGCCGAUGUCUAAAACGACGUAAGUAUGUGCCGGCUCGGCGCAGGGCACUGCUGCCACUGGAUAAAAACGAUGUUGACAACAUCAAAAACGAUGCAGACACCUACUAAAAGCGAUGUAGGAAAAAAGUACCACUUGGACAUCCGAGCUGCCGCCGCUGGAUAAAAACGAUGUUGGAGACAUGAGAAAAGUGGCACCUGGACGUCCGAGCUGCCGCUAAUCGCCGCCCACCCCCACCGACCGUUCGUGCCCGCCGUGCCCCAACUGGCCGCUCGUGCCCCCGCUCGUGUCCGCCGGCCGCUCAGUCCGCGCUCGCGUCCGCCGAGCCCACACCGGCCGUUCGUGCCCGCUUCUCUCGUACCUUCCAGGCUAGGUUGUCGACAUAUAUGCGCUUAGCCUGCCGACGCGCGACUGGCCGGGUUUAAACCCGGCCACGCGGCCGCGGAUAGCUACGGAAUAAAAAUCGCAGAAGAAAAGGACAUAAAUUCCUAGAAUAUAUGAAAUAAUAAAUACAUAUAUGAAACAUUACGGUAUAUAUAUAUAUACUCAAUUUUCGUGGCCCUCAGG